AUACGGAGGGUGCGAGCGUUAAUCGGAAUUACUGGGCGUAAAGCGUGCGUAGGCGGUUUGCUAAGUCAGAUGUGAAAGCCCCGGGCUUAACCUGGGAACAGCAUUUGAUACUGGCAGACUAGAGUAUGAUAGAGGGGGGUAGAAUUCCUGGUGUAGCGGUGAAAUGCGUAGAUAUCAGGAGGAAUACCAGUGGCGAAGGCGGCCCCCUGGAUCAAUACUGACGAUGAGGUCCGAAAGCGUGGGGAGCGAACAGGAUUAGAAACCCCAGUAGUCC
RNAcentral lists this ribosomal RNA (274 nucleotides) under uncultured bacterium. RNAcentral's name for it is "partial 16S ribosomal RNA". It matches the Rfam family "Bacterial small subunit ribosomal RNA", at positions 523 to 796 of the family's 1533-position model. The record is from RNAcentral.